GACGAACGCUGGCGGCGCGCUUAACACAUGCAAGUCGAACGGAAAGGCCUGCUUUCCCUUGUGGAUUGCGGGUACUCUAGUGGCGAACGGGUGAGUAACACGUGAGUGAUCUGCCCCCAACUUGGGUAUAAGCCUGGGAAACUGGGUCUAAUUCCCGAUAGGACUGCAGGGUGGUGCCUGUGGUGGAAAACGAUUUUCUAGUGGUUGGGGAUGAGCUCGCGGCCUAUCAGCUUGUUGGUGGGGUAAUGGCCUACCAAGGCGGCGACGGGUAGCCGGCCUGAGAGGGUGGACGGCCACAUUGGGACUGAGAUACGGCCCAGACUCCUACGGGAGGCAGCAGUGGGGAAUAUUGCACAAUGGGCGGAAGCCUGAUGCAGCGACGCCGCGUGGGGGAUGACGGCCUUCGGGUUGUAAACUCCUUUCGACCGCGAGGAAGCCACCUGGUUGGAAGGGUGGUGACGGUAGUGGUAGAAGAAGCACCGGCUAACUACGUG
This 494-nucleotide ribosomal RNA is filed under the name uncultured bacterium. RNAcentral describes it as "partial 16S ribosomal RNA". It matches the Rfam family "Bacterial small subunit ribosomal RNA", at positions 28 to 507 of the family's 1533-position model. The record is from RNAcentral.